Molecule: ribosomal RNA, 414 nt
Filed under: Escherichia coli
Lineage: Bacteria; Pseudomonadati; Pseudomonadota; Gammaproteobacteria; Enterobacterales; Enterobacteriaceae
Description: bacterial SSU rRNA
Rfam family: Bacterial small subunit ribosomal RNA
Source: RNAcentral
CAUGCAAGUCGAACGGUAACAGGAAGAAGCUUGCUGUUUUUGCUGACGAGUGGCGGACGGGUGAGUAAUGUCUGGGAAACUGCCUGAUGGAGGGGGAUAACUACUGGAAACGGUAGCUAAUACCGCAUAACGUCGCAAGACCAAAGAGGGGGACCUUCGGGCCUCUUGCCAUCGGAUGUGCCCAGAUGGGAUUAGCUAGUAGGUGGGGUAACGGCUCACCUAGGCGACGAUCCCUAGCUGGUCUGAGAGGAUGACCAGCCACACUGGAACUGAGACACGGUCCAGACUCCUACGGGAGGCAGCAGUGGGGAAUAUUGCACAAUGGGCGCAAGCCUGAUGCAGCCAUGCCGCGUGUAUGAAGAAGGCCUUCGGGUUGUAAAGUACUUCAGCGGGGAGGAAGGGAGUAAAGUUAAU